ACUAUAAUCUUUGAUGCAUAUGUACAUGAUGGCUGAAAGGCGUUUGCUGUUAAAUGUUACAUGUCUUCUUGAAUUUCACAGGAAUGAUAAAGGAAUUUAAAGGAAGGUGGUGUAACUAUAAAUUCGACAGGUUUAAAGAAAUAAUGUACUGUUAGAUGACACGGAGUGUCAGUAGGAGAAAUUGGUUUGGUAUUAAAUGAAGUGAAACAGUGUUUUCUGUUUCAGAUAGUAAUGGAGGAUAGCGUCAGUGUCAAAUCAAACGAUUCUGUAGCAAC
Zootermopsis nevadensis is the source of this 275-nucleotide non-coding RNA. Lineage: Eukaryota; Metazoa; Arthropoda; Insecta; Blattodea; Termopsidae. The record is from RefSeq and is a predicted model, not a curated record.